Molecule: ribosomal RNA, 158 nt
Filed under: Trichoderma virens
Lineage: Eukaryota; Fungi; Ascomycota; Sordariomycetes; Hypocreales; Hypocreaceae
Description: 5.8S ribosomal RNA
Rfam family: 5.8S ribosomal RNA
About the family: 5.8S ribosomal RNA (5.8S rRNA) is a component of the large subunit of the eukaryotic ribosome.
Source: RNAcentral
AAACUUUCAACAACGGAUCUCUUGGUUCUGGCAUCGAUGAAGAACGCAGCGAAAUGCGAUAAGUAAUGUGAAUUGCAGAAUUCAGUGAAUCAUCGAAUCUUUGAACGCACAUUGCGCCCGCCAGUAUUCUGGCGGGAAUCCCUGUCCGAGCGUUUUUU